This 502-nucleotide ribosomal RNA is filed under the name uncultured bacterium. RNAcentral describes it as "bacterial SSU rRNA". It matches the Rfam family "Bacterial small subunit ribosomal RNA", at positions 8 to 507 of the family's 1533-position model. The record is from RNAcentral.
AGAGUUUGAUCAUGGCUCAGAUUAACGCUGGCGGCAUGCCCUUACACAUGCAAGUCGAACGGUAGCGCGGGGCAACCUGGCGACGAGUGGCGAACGGGUGAGUAAAGCAUCGGAACGUGCCCUGGAAUGGGGGAUAACGUAGCGAAAGUUACGCUAAUACCGCAUAUUCUGUGAGCAGGAAAGCAGGGGAUCGCAAGACCUUGCGUUCUGGGAGCGGCCGAUGUCGGAUUAGCUAGUUGGUGGGGUAAAAGCCUACCAAGGCGACGAUCCGUAGCGGGUCUGAGAGGAUGAUCCGCCACACUGGGACUGAGACACGGCCCAGACUCCUACGGGAGGCAGCAGUGGGGAAUUUUGGACAAUGGGCGGAAGCCUGAUCCAGCCAUGCCGCGUGAGUGAAGAAGGCCUUCGGGUUGUAAAGCUCUUUCGGUGGGGAAGAAAUUGCACGGGUUAAUACCCUGUGUAGAUGACGGUACCCGACUAAGAAGCACCGGCUAACUACGUG